CGCUAGGCUUGACCGGGACGUUCGGCGUGUCCUUCUACACCAAAACCGUCGUCAGUGGGGGUGACAGCUGGGGACGUCGUAACCGAACCGGCGCCAGUCCAGAUACCAACAAUGAGGCUCUGUCCGAUGGGGCUGAAGGUGGCAUCUAGGUCCAGCUGGAGGGCGGGAUCGAGUGCCUUCGCCGCGGAGAUCGGGUCAGGCCCUGACGGGAGCAGCCUUACCGCGAACUCUCAACGCUCACCGGGAAGCGGGGCCGAGGCGGUUUCUGGGUAGCUGACGUUCGGAGAGGUCGGCAACCUCAGUGGCCUAGCA
RNAcentral lists this signal recognition particle RNA (312 nucleotides) under Euryarchaeota archaeon RBG_13_57_23. RNAcentral describes it as "signal recognition particle sRNA". It matches the Rfam family "Archaeal signal recognition particle RNA". Lineage: Archaea; Methanobacteriati; Methanobacteriota. The record is from RNAcentral.